CUUGUAUUAUUUUAACUUUUAGUUUCUUGUGUACAAUUUGAAGUUUAGUAUGGCGUUCAUUAUCACUGAACCAGUAUAUAUUUGUUUAGGGGCCAGCUGAAGGACGCCUCUGGGUGCGAGAAUUUCUCGUUGCAUUGAAGACCUGUUGGUGACCUUCUGCUGUUGUCUGCUCUAUGGUCGGGUUGUUGUCUCUUUGGCACAUUCCCCAUUUCCAUUCUCAAUUUUAUUGCAAAAAU
This 236-nucleotide long non-coding RNA is filed under the name Mytilus galloprovincialis (Mediterranean mussel). Lineage: Eukaryota; Metazoa; Mollusca; Bivalvia; Mytilida; Mytilidae. The record is from RNAcentral.